UACCAGCACCCCGAGUGGUCGGGACGAUUAUUGGGCCUAAAGCAUCCGUAGCCGGUCCACAAGUCUUCCGUUAAAUCCACCUGCUUAACAGAUGGGCUGCGGAAGAUACUAUAGGGCUAGGAGGCGGGAGAGGCAAGCGGUACUCAGUGGGUAGGGGUAAAAUCCUCUGAUCCAUUGAAGACCACCAGUGGCGAAGGCGGCUUGCCAGAACGCGCUCGACGGUGAGGGAUGAAAGCUGGGGGAGCAAACCGG
RNAcentral lists this ribosomal RNA (252 nucleotides) under uncultured bacterium. Its description in RNAcentral is "partial 16S ribosomal RNA". It matches the Rfam family "Archaeal small subunit ribosomal RNA", at positions 474 to 727 of the family's 1478-position model. The record is from RNAcentral.